AUACGUAGGUGGCAAGCGUUGUCCGGAAUUACUGGGCGUAAAGGAUGCGUAGGCGGAUAUGUAAGUCAGAUGUGAAAUACCCGGGCUCAACUUGGGUGCUGCAUUUGAAACUGCAUGUCUAGAGUGCGGGAGAGGAAAGUGGAAUUCCUAGUGUAGGAGUGAAAUCCGUAGAGAUCUGGAGGAACACCAGUGGCGAAGGCGACUACCUGGACCGAUACUGACACUGAGGAGCGAAAGCGUGGGGAGC
Molecule: ribosomal RNA, 247 nt
Filed under: uncultured bacterium
Lineage: Bacteria
Description: partial 16S ribosomal RNA
Rfam family: Bacterial small subunit ribosomal RNA
Source: RNAcentral